AGAGAAAUCUUCAUACUUGCUUCCUUCUCAAUUUAUAGGGCUUAGGCCCAGGGUUCCUAGUUGUGUUGAGAGUCCCGGUUUGGAUCUGUCUUAGUUACCUUCGAGCUCAAUAGCCGAAAUAGACAGAACUCAACCCACUAUUGAGGACUAGGCAGAUCAUAGGAAAAGAUUUUAUGGGAUUGGAAAUGGAAUUACAGGGCAUAGGCAGUUAUUCGAACUUCCUAGCCCUUCUUCCCAUGGUAAUUAAACUGUCAAGAUUAUAGCAGCUCUCUUCUAUGUUAUUUAUACUGAGUUACGGAUCUAAGUAACGCCAGCCUUAGCCACUCUUAAGUGGCUUUCAUACUUAGUUGCUGUUCUCUUAGGCUUAACUCCCGUUUAUCUGUAUAAGUUGUAUAAGUAAGGGAUUAACCAGGUGUUGGAUGAGAAGCAGCCUAGGUGAGAUCCAUUUGAUCUGUUAGCUGCUAAUGGAUUCUAUCGUCAUUUCGACAGUGAAAUAAAUCUU
RNAcentral lists this long non-coding RNA (502 nucleotides) under Nicotiana benthamiana. RNAcentral describes it as "long non-coding RNA (NBEN_LNC004191)". Lineage: Eukaryota; Viridiplantae; Streptophyta; Magnoliopsida; Solanales; Solanaceae. The record is from RNAcentral.